UCCCUCUUAGCUCAGUUGGUAGAGCGCGUCACUAGUACAUCAAAUACCUAAUGACGAGGUCAGUCGUUCAAAUCGGCUAGCGGGAA
This is a non-coding RNA of Mycena belliarum, 86 nucleotides long. The record is from the annotation of a GenBank genome assembly. NCBI's taxonomy places the organism in Eukaryota, Fungi, Basidiomycota, Agaricomycetes, Agaricales, Mycenaceae.